Molecule: microRNA, 21 nt
Filed under: Cricetulus griseus (Chinese hamster)
Lineage: Eukaryota; Metazoa; Chordata; Mammalia; Rodentia; Cricetidae
Also listed under: 2 other names
Description: cgr-miR-702
Gene: cgr-miR-702
Source: miRBase by way of RNAcentral
GUGAGUGGGGUGGUUGGCAUG